GGGAGACCCGGUGGAUCAUUUGAACAAUGCUCAUUGUUCGAUGCACAUCACUUCCUAUGUCAAGCCAUCAGAAUAUCCAACUACACGUAGCACGUAGGCCUGCGAAUUUAAUGAAGUGUACGACCAACCCAACAGAUCAAACUUGGUGAUCCCAGUGGGGCUAAUUAACCAUGGCCAGCCUUAUACAACCAGAGACAUCACCCUAAUCAACAAACAAAUAACAGAAUUUUUUUUUUAAUCAAACGCAACCGUGUAUGUUAUUUACAACAACCAAAAAUUAUGUGUUACCAGUAAAUCAGGUACUCGGUCUUUAGUUCCAAAAUUCUGAACCACCUAAAGUAAAUUUUCGCGUCAUGAAUGGUUAACAUCACUAAAUGCAGCAGGCAUCCACCCUACUCACCUUUCACGAGGCUUUCAAGAAUGACUAAUAUUCUCAGAAUAUCAUUAUGAUUGCUGAUUAAGAUUUGCUCUUUUUAUUUGAUUUGGAGCCGUUAUCCCCUUUCCGCUUUUUCCCAUUCUUGUGACCAUCAUGCUUUCCAUGUUUUUCCACUCUAGUUCUACUGGAUUUCACACUAAUAAGGCCACCUAAGGUUAUCUUUCCACCAUUUUUCAAUGCAUUCUCAAAAUCACCUUCUCUGUCGACUAUGGCAUACUGUUGGAGAAGCUCAGGAUUCAGCAUACCCUCCAUUUUGGUUUUCAUCCCAUCCUCAACUUGUUUUGCUGCUUCAUUGAGAUCAUCCUCCACAGAGAUGUUGUGAGGUUCCAGCACUCUCUCUUUUAAUCGGGGUAAGGUUGAUUCAAUCUCAUUGGAUGCAAUACCAUAAAGAUAUUUAUGGAACUUCUUCAUAACCUUUAUGAAAAGGGACAGAAUCUGCGUCCUUUCCAACUUCAUUUGUUCCUCCAUGCAUGUAAUGUUCUGAUGCUGCAAACCAAUGCAUAGCAAAACAGAAGCCUGAACAUAUGACAUCGUAAUAGGAAGCUUCCCUUGAAAAUAUAGACGAGCAAGGAUCUGAACAAUGUCUAAUAUCAAAUGAAAAUCAGCAAGAUUUUCAGUAUAUACUCUGAGCCGUUCCAUAUCAUAUGGUGAUAGAUCAAAUCUAAGUGACCUCAAAAAUCCUUCUGGGGUGGAUAAUGUAGUUUCUACAUCUGUAUCCGCAUAGUUGAUCUUGGGAUCAAGGACACUCAUAGCAAGCUUAUAUUCCAUUGUCCGGAAACUAGAUUCCAGCAACCUAGCAAACCUUAGCCUGAAAUCUUGGUAAAAUGGACCAAAAAAUCCCCAAUUAUCUGAUCCGCUGACUUCAAUAUCAUCACUGUUUAAUGGUUUCAGGACCAUACAUGUGUGCUCACCAGUUACAGUACUUGGAAUUUGGCCAAUGUAGAAUGGGGCAAAUUUAUGUUUCCUCCAAAAGCGAAACAGGUCCAAAGUAAGCCCAAAAGAUACACCAAGGUAGUGGAGCUUUUCAGAUCGUCGUUCACGAAGAUGUACUAGCAAAUGUGGAAGGUCUGUCCUUGGUUUUAUAUUUUCUUCUAGCAAGGAAACCUUCUCUGCAGCUUCUGUAACUCUAGUUUGGGGAGAGUCCACAUUGGUUUCAAAAUCCACUUCAGAAAUAGGAGUAAACUGUCCUUCAUAGUACCUUGUUAAAAGUUCCAUUGCGGCAGAACCAUAACCAAGCUUCAUGGCACUUGGAUGGGUGGCAAUGCGUACGAUACGAGCACCCGAAAGGCUGGGGAAAACUGUGUCCCGGAAUUGCUCACAGAAUUUCCAAGGAAUUUGAUCACCAAAUGGUUGAUGGCCAUCACUUAAACUUUUGACUGCAGAUUUACGAGAAAUCUGGCCUUCAAGACUGACCAGUCAAUGAAUUGACCAAGUGACAUGACCAUCAACAUCAUAUAUAUAGUAUUCUUGUAAAGGCUUCAGAUUGCGAAGACUGCUUACUGAAUGACACAUAAGAUGUCAGGAAGUUUAUUUUCUGACUCAUCAACAGGGCCUGCAUAUACAAGAUUAGAGGACACUUCUUGCACAACGACUAAAUCAAAUAAAAUCAGCUCAAAGAGUGUAUAUACCAAGUAACACAAACAAAUGAUGUGCAGGAGCAUCGGCCAUUAGUUGUAAAUCAUUAGGAGAAUUUUUAUAGUGAGAUGCAACAUAUAAAGCCAUCAUUCGCUGCGAAAACAACUCACUGUCUUUGUGAUAGGAAAAAAGCGUAUCCCGAUUAACAUAAUAGAGAUCACACUCACUGGGUGGAGGUAAUCUUCUGAUACUAGGUAUGGAAUUUGUAACAUCCAAGCAAAGUAAAGCAUUAAGCCAGGAUUCAAUUGGAUCAGCAGAAGCAUAUCUGAUAGACUCGUUAAGCUCUAUCUUUUUGAAAAGACAACCUGCAGGCAACACAAUGGUGAACUCAUAAAAUCUUUCAAACAAAUCAUCUAUACAUGUAAAAACAAGUUGUCAGAUACCAAGUAUUGUAAAAGAAAAUAACUCUUAGUGGUGUGCAAUCCAUGGAUUAUAAAAAGAAGCAAAAAGAACAUUCAAACAAUAGUUCAUUCUAGAUAAUUUUUAUUAGGCCUUGCAUUAGCCUAAACAUAUAGUUCAAUGAUGGAUUAGUUAUCUUAUUCAUUCUAAAUUACUGAACUCUUUGUCACCAAUUUCAUUUGAGGAGAUUGAGCAAAUAAGAAGGCCAAAUAAAUUAGCCUGAUUGACUAGAUGUCUAGACUCUAGGAAACAAAAUAAUAUUCCUCAUAUUUCUGGAGUGAGGUUGUAAGUUAUAUUCUCAAGUAAGUUGCAAUUAGGUUGAAGUUAAGCAUUCAGAUCAAAGGAAUUUAGCAUUUGCCCAUAACAUUCAACAUAUACACGGGUUCCACAAAAAACAAAGUUGAUCUUAUAACAAGCAAUAUGCUCAUCAGAGUGACUAGUGACUACCCACUAAGAUAAAAUAAUAUUAACAGAAGGUUUCUUGCAUACUAUUGACUCAUAGCUACAAAAGCCAUGUGAAGAUCAGAUAUACCAGAAAGAGAACCCUCCACAUUCUUGGCAGUCAUGUGGCUUUGUUCUUCCAGUUGCUGCAGAAGUUUUAGCGACAAAGAACGACCAGUGCCUUCAUAGCUUGAAAUGGGAAAAACCAUACAGUAACAGUAUACGAGUAUGUAGAUACUUGAACAAGAACUAGAACUAGACUCCUAAACUCAAGUAGUGCAUUAAGCAUGCAGGUUGAUUGUUUAUUGUGAAAAAUGAAACUCCCAAUGCAAGUCAAUAACAUACCCAUUCACAGUAGAUGAAAGGAAGACCAAGUAUGGACCCAGCAGGGACUUCACAACUGGCAAUGGAAUGGCAGCAGCCUCAUCAACUACCAGUAGUUCCACUUGGGAGAGCUUUUCAUGUUCAUGUGGCUGUAUGUACUGAAUCGUUUGUCUGUGCUGUUUAUAGAUAUUGAUCCGCACAGUUGCUUUCUUGAACUCAGGAUUUGCACUUUUCACAAUAUCAUAAUCAAUAUGUUCCUUAUAUUCAAGUGCAUCAAAACCCUUGCAGAUGAACUCAAACAAAGUUUUCAAGUUUUCAGGGCUGGGUGCGGUUACAAAUAUAUUUGAAUACCCAGCUGCAAUAGCUCCAGCAACUGCUAAACCAAGUGCAGCAGAUUUUCCACGGCCACGAGCAGCAAGUAAAGCAAGUGUACUACGUAGUGUCUUAUCCAAAAUUGCAUCAAGAAAUGUGAUGACAGCUUUUCCCUGAUCUAGCGUGCAACACUUUUUUAUUAGAGGACCAACGGGAAAAUCAUCAUGCAGUUGAUCCUUCAAAUUCUUCAGGUCUCGUUCUGCUUCUGAAAGACCUUCAGAGUCCUCUUUAACUGGAACUGGAGUAAUUGACCGUAUAUGAGAUGAAAUUGGUAAAAUAUUCAGCUCAUCAUCCAUAACCACACAUGCUUUGCAUGAAGCAAGUGAAAGAAGGAAACGCUCAUUAAAGCGCCCAGCAGCCUCAGAAUGGGAUUCAGUACGAAACCUCUCAUGGACAUCCAUGACCAUGGUGUAAAGACUGGUCAAUGAGGAGAGAGACCGUAACAGCAAGACAAUCAAUCCACCACCUUCUACUGUCUCUAUUGUUCUAGCCAAGAGAUUUGGAGUCAAAGCCUCAAAGUCCUGCAAUAUGCACAUUCCAAAAGUAUUCCCAAGUAUUCUUUCAGAAUCCUUGUACAAGCAAUACGUUAGUCCUCCGGUUUCAACAAAAAGUGAGAAAGGAUCAACUUUCUCAGGAUCCAACAGUCCCCUCUGCAUUAGCUUUUUUAUCUGUUUCGCUCUCUUUUUCUUGUGACUGCUAAGUUCAAGCUUGUCUUUAUAGCACCAUAAGACAGUUGGCCUGGAUUUGACCACUGCCUUGCUUAGCAUAUAGUGAAGAUUAACAAUCUGGUCGCGCGACUUGUCACCGAUGAUGAGGAACAUAGAACGGUGCCGUAAUUUGACGCCAUUUUCAAUGAGAGUUCUGAUACGCUCGUCCACCUUCUUUCUCAUUUUAUUCCUCCUUUUCUCUUCACCUCGAGAAGUAAGCAAAGUGAAGCUUAAGCUUUGGCCUUAUCGAUUAAUUAUGAUAUUGUUCUUCUGCAGAUUUUGAGUUUUGAGCUUAAGAUUGCUCUGCUUCUGUUACACUCCACUCUCUGUGUUUUUAGGGCUUAUGCGAGGGUUUUAUAAGAUGGCGGUUAAAUUCGACCAUUGAACCCAUGCUAGGGUAGACGUUUAGUCUAUGAACGGGUUCUGCUUGAACCGCAUCUGUUUGACGUAUGAAUGGCAAUAGGCAGGGCCGGGUUCGUCCACCGUUCUUGCGCCGCAGAAGAUGGAAGGCGGGACGAAGACUUUC
This 4840-nucleotide unclassified non-coding RNA is filed under the name Hevea brasiliensis (rubber tree). The record is from RNAcentral. Lineage: Eukaryota; Viridiplantae; Streptophyta; Magnoliopsida; Malpighiales; Euphorbiaceae.